CAGGCUCCGCCCAUGGGGAGAGAUGGCAGCAAACCAACUUUGAUAGCUGCUAUUCUGUUAUUAUGAGAGUGUAUGGAUUAACAAUGGUCUAGAUAUGCAUACUGUAGCAUACUGUAGCUCCACUGUUACACCACCACCCACCAAGCUUCAGAGAUGGAGGCUAAUCUGAGGUGCUUACGCCUUGCUGGGAGAAUCUUUGCUCCACCAUUGUUGAGUGCUACAUAACCUGCCUCAUCGCUGAUCACCACCAUGAUAAGGUCUCUGUAUUAUCCCACGGGAGAGUCACAAAAGAAGGUUGGCUAUCGGAGCUCUGCAGUUACCACCUACUGUUAUUGUUAAAUGUGAAUGUGAGCCUGUGUUUAAAGAUUCUGCAAAGCAAUUCGGUAAUAUCAAGGAACUGCACAAAAGAUCCCGAAGAUCUCAGUGCAGUAUUAAUGCAGUGUUCUUACAGGCAGCAGAGUUCUACUUUGAACUGCAGUGGUGAUUACGUGAUUCAUAAAGAUCUAUAAAACUGACAAUAAUUCAGUUUUAAACAGUAUGUUAAAGUGGAAAUGAAACACUACAUAUAUUAAGCCUAAUUUACACCAUGGCGCUUUACUGUAAAAAAAAAGGUCACAAAUUUAACACCGUCUGUGGAACUCAAUUUAAAAUAUAAGCGUUUUAAGUUACAGUUUUUAGAGCAUGUUUAAUGUCAUCUUGUCAAAGUGAAGAACAUGAAGUCACUAGUUUGGUAGUCCUACAUUCAGUUAUGUUAGCUAACUACUGACAGAACCAAAAACUAAAUAAUAUUGAAAACAAGGAGAUUAAAAUGGAAAAGACUUAUGAAAAGACUGUCCACUUUCACUCUUUGUCUCUUAGUCCACUGAAACAGGUCUGUUGGCUGUAAUUCUUGGGUUUGUAGAACAGUUUAUGAAUGCUGGCUGCUGUCCCCUCUGUGUUUUCCUUGUCGUGUCAGAUGUAUGGAAAAAGUUUAAGAGCAUAUGUCUACAAGAUGUGUCAAUCACUAUUUCAUGCAAUUUGUUAUUUAAUCCCCAGUUAUAUCAGGAUUAAGUCUUCCUUUCCCCCAAGCACACCCAACCAGUUAACAACAUAAUAUUAUAUAGCAUAUAAUAGGCUACUGCCAGUGUUGGGUAUGACAUGUUAUAGUAACGUAUUACUGUGAUCACUUGACAUUUGUCAGUAACAUAUUACUGUACUAAAUUUAGUAGUUACAUUACAGUUACACUUAUGUUGUUACUACAAAGGUUCUUCAGUUGUCUUCCUGCACACUUGCGCUACAAUCAGCUAAUUUUAGUUCAUGUGUGUGAGGAGUAAAAUGGUGGAGCAAUACAGCUACUGAGGAUUGGAGAUAAGGACAAGAGCGCAAAGCUAAAUUGGAAGCUAAAAAUGCUAACAGCUCUUUGUUUCUUUGCAAGCAUGUGCACAGACAGCAUGCUAACGCUAGUGCUAACCCAGUGUGAUUUUAAAGCUGAGUGCAUGCACAUGCCAGCUCAGCAGUCAGAGACUCAUUCUUCUGCACUUCACUUCUUCCACACUUCACUUCUGCAGGUAACAAAAGCAGCGAUGAGCAGUCAGGCUUGUAGCCUCCGUUUCUACCUGUUAAUGUUUGUAGCGUAGAAUCACUGUGGCGAUCACUUUGAAGUCUCUGGUCUGGUUUUUGUCUUUGUGUUAUCAGCUUUGUGUUCAUACAUAAAUACUAAGAGAAAGAUUAUACUGUAUGUGUGUCCUCAUUAGGAUAUGGAUUUGUGUUGGUGUGUUGUUAAUCGGUAACUACUGCAUGAUGAUGUGUUUACUUUAAUGCCUCAUUUGUUGAACUUAGUUGGACAAGCAGAAGAAAACAAAUGGAUGGAUUGAUGGAAAAUGUUGUAAAAAUGUCUAUUUUUUAAAUUUCUCACUUCUUACCAAAGUGAGAAAAAAUGAAGCCCAAAGGUACAUUGAAAGUACGACACCUAGUCAGUCUGGAUUUAAUCCAACUGAGAUGCUUUGGCCGGACCUUAAACAAGAAAUCCUGCUCUAAAGCCCUCCAGUGUAGCUGAAUCAAAAUUCUGCAAAGAAAAGUGGGAAGAAAUUCCUCCACAGUGAUGUGAAACACUCACUGAAAGUUAUCACAUGACUGCAGUUCUUGCCGCCAAGGGUGGAACAACCAGUUAUUAGGUUUGAGGGGGGGGGGAGUUAUUAGGGCCAGGUAGAUUUGGAUAGCUUUUUUACCUCGAUAAAUGAAAUUAUUGCAUUUUGUUUACACUCAGGUUAUUUUUGUCCAAUAUUAAAAUUUGAUGAUCUCAAACACUUAUGCAAGAAAAUAGGUAAUCGAGAAUAAGGCAAAUACUUUUUCAAUGUACUGUAUAAUAAUAGCCAUAUUAUAUAUAGCCAUACAAAAGCCGUCUUUCUGAUUUUUUUUUUUAUACAUGACACCAUCUCAGAAUGGGCUUAAAACCAGAUUUAAUUUUUCAGAAAGUCUGCAUCAUGAACUGGAUGAAUGGAGUUUGAAAAACAGAUAAAAAGUGUUUAGACAACAUAAUCA
Molecule: long non-coding RNA, 2521 nt
Organism: Oreochromis niloticus (Nile tilapia)
Lineage: Eukaryota; Metazoa; Chordata; Actinopteri; Cichliformes; Cichlidae
Exons: 3
Source: RefSeq, a predicted model, not a curated record